Molecule: ribosomal RNA, 253 nt
Filed under: uncultured bacterium
Lineage: Bacteria
Description: partial 16S ribosomal RNA
Rfam family: Bacterial small subunit ribosomal RNA
Source: RNAcentral
UACGGGGGGGGUAAGCGUUGUUCGGAAUUACUGGGCGUAAAGGGCUCGUAGGCGGCCAACUAAGUCGGACGUGAAAUCCCUCAGCUUAACCGGGGAACUGCGUCUGAUACUGGAUGGCUUGAGUUUGGGAGAGGGAUGCGGAAUUCCAGGUGUAGCGGUGAAAUGCGUAGAUAUCUGGAGGAACGCCGGUGGCGAAGGCGGCAUCCUGGACCAACACUGACACUGAGGAGCGAAAGCCAGGGGAGCAAACGGG